RNAcentral lists this transfer RNA (76 nucleotides) under Vibrio parahaemolyticus. RNAcentral describes it as "tRNA-Asn". It matches the Rfam family "tRNA". Rfam says of the family: Transfer RNA (tRNA) molecules are approximately 80 nucleotides in length. Their secondary structure includes four short double-helical elements and three loops (D, anti-codon, and T loops). The record is from RNAcentral. Lineage: Bacteria; Pseudomonadati; Pseudomonadota; Gammaproteobacteria; Vibrionales; Vibrionaceae.
GCUCCCUUAGCUCAGUUGGUAGAGUGACGGACUGUUAAUCCGGCUGUCGCUGGUUCGAGUCCAGCAGGGAGCGCCA